AUGCUAUGCUUAGGUAACAGCCUGCAAAUGUCAAUGGCUUACAGCUACCAAGGCUCUCUCGGUCCUGCCAUUUCUGCUGCUGGCCCGGAUGCCCCUCCAGGCCCCCUGUUCUACAUCGUGGGUGACCUCUGGGCUGACUGGCAUCUCAGCUCAAGUUCCUUUUCAUGGCCAUCAUUGCUAGAGCACCAGCAGACAAAUGCUUCCUGCUCGGGUUUCAUCACAGAGUGGGGAAGGCACAGUGCCUGCAGCCGGAAGGGAGGAGAGCUGGGUGCUGCUGAGCCCAGAACGACACCCCACUCACCCUUCCUCUGCACCUCCAUCCUGGAACACCCCAACACUUGCUCUGAGGAUGCUGUGCCAGGUGUGAGGGGUACCAACAAGGUACCAGGUAACCACACAAAUAACCAGGGCACCAGGCAGUUAGAGGAGAAAUCCAGAUGACUCCAACAGUCGGUGUAAAUAACAAAGGGACUAAAGUGUAUGACAGUUGGAAUCCUGGUUCCUGGAAGAGAUGGAUCUGUGCUGAGCAUCUCAGCCCAUCAUUUAGCACCCUGUAACCUGCGGAGCAUCUGAUCCCUUCAACUGCACCCUCUUCCUCUGUGCUCGCUGACCUGACCUUCAAGGCAACUGGACUAAUACCUCGUCUUCACACCACGUGUUUGGAGAGGUCCCAAGGCUGGCAAAUCAAACAUGGGACCAGGUCAUCGCCUAUUUCCAGCAAAAUGAGUUCAUAUCCAUUUCAGGCUCAUUUUACUGCUGUUUGUUAUAACUGUUGUCAGGAAGAAAUGAGCAGGUUUGUAUACCACAAGGC
This 811-nucleotide long non-coding RNA is filed under the name Bos grunniens (domestic yak). RNAcentral's name for it is "lncRNA (ENSBGRG00000008622.1)". Lineage: Eukaryota; Metazoa; Chordata; Mammalia; Artiodactyla; Bovidae. The record is from RNAcentral.